GACGAACGCUGGCGGCGUGCUUAACACAUGCAAGUCGAACGGAAAGGCCCUGCUUGCAGGGUACUCGAGUGGCGAACGGGUGAGUAACACGUGGGUGAUCUGCCCUGCACUUCGGGAUAAGCCUGGGAAACUGGGUCUAAUACCGGAUAGGAGCCAUUUUUAGUGUGAUGGUUGGUAAGUUUUUUCGGUGUAGGAUGAGCUCGCGGCCUAUCAGCUUGUUGGUGGGGUAAUGGCCUACCAAGGCGGCGACGGGUAGCCGGCCUGAGAGGGUGGACGGCCACAUUGGGACUGAGAUACGGCCCAGACUCCGACGGGAGGCAGCAGUGGGGAAUAUUGCACAAUGGGCGCGAGCCUGAUGCAGCGACGCCGCGUGGGGGAUGACGGCCUUCGGGUUGUAAACUCCUUUCGCUAGGGACGAAGCUUUUUGUGACGGUACCUAGAUAAGAAGCACCGGCUAACUACGUG
Molecule: ribosomal RNA, 465 nt
Filed under: uncultured bacterium
Lineage: Bacteria
Description: partial 16S ribosomal RNA
Rfam family: Bacterial small subunit ribosomal RNA
Source: RNAcentral